UGAGUAACGCGUGAGUAACCUGCCUUACACAAGGGGAUAGCCGUUGGAAACGACGAAUAAUACCCUAUGACAUAAACUCUUCGCAUGAGGAGCUUAUCAAAGAUUUAUCGGUGUAAGAUGGACUCGCGUCUGAUUAGCUAGUUGGUGAGGUAACGGCCCACCAAGGCGACGAUCAGUAGCCGGCUUGAGAGAGUGUACGGCCACAUUGGGACUGAGACACGGCCCAGACUCCUACGGGAGGCAGCAGGC
RNAcentral lists this ribosomal RNA (249 nucleotides) under uncultured Anaerococcus sp. RNAcentral describes it as "partial 16S ribosomal RNA". It matches the Rfam family "Bacterial small subunit ribosomal RNA", at positions 107 to 354 of the family's 1533-position model. Lineage: Bacteria; Bacillati; Bacillota; Tissierellia; Tissierellales; Peptoniphilaceae. The record is from RNAcentral.